RNAcentral lists this long non-coding RNA (685 nucleotides) under Mus musculus (house mouse). Its description in RNAcentral is "homeobox B3 and homeobox B2, opposite strand (Hoxb3os)". Lineage: Eukaryota; Metazoa; Chordata; Mammalia; Rodentia; Muridae. The record is from RNAcentral.
AUUGUGCAGCCGGGGCUCGAUGCGCCCACACUCUCCAGGGUGGUGGCAGGCAGCGCUGACGGCGGUGCGCCCCGGGGUCCCUGCGCGGCCUCGGCGGGGUGGAAGCAGGCUUCCCGCAGCCGGUGAGUCGCGACGUCGCCCGGGCUGACCGUGGGUUCCUCGGCUGGCUCUCCCGCGUCGUCCUGGGCGCUCGGCCCGCCUGGUUCUCCCUCGGGCGGCUCUCGAUGCUGCGUCUGCCGCUUGUGUUUCAUGCGUCGGUUCUGGAACCAGACUUUGACCUGCCUUUCGGUGAGGUCCAGCAAGGCAGCGAUCUCGACGCGACGCGGCCGGCACAGACCCAAUGAUGGUUGGGCUUCGGGUCACGUGACAGCCUCAUUGUAGCUCCGGAAGAGAACGUGAAGUUUAGGUUGCCUGGAAGAAGCAGUAAUAAGGAGACUGAAAGGGAGAACAAAAAAAAUCAAGAUUUUGGGGAAAUUACCCACAGAGAUGCAAGGGAAAAAGAAAAAGGAAAAGGAAAAACUGUGCAUCUGCUGGAAUCUCUUUUCUACUGAGAUGGGGGAAAUUAUCCAGGAUGAGAAAGACUCACAAAACAAUUUGAACACUAUUCUUCUCUGGAUUCAAAGGGGAGGCUGUUUACUGAGGUUCCCAACAGCAAAAAAUAAAAUAAAAUAAAAUUAUGGUCACU